ACCCGCUGAAUUUAAGCAUAUAAGUGAGUGGAGGAUCAUAAAUUAAACACGUUUUCCUUAGUAAUGGCGAAUGAACAGGAACUGGUGCACCAUGGAAAACAGAGCUGCUUGCUCUGGCUUGCAAUCGCAAGAUGUACUAGCAACCAAGGUGCACGUGUGGGCCUUUUGGAAAAGAGCAUACACACAGGUGAGAAUCCCAUGUUCCGCGUGCAAUCCCCUGGUGCAUGGUAUACAUUCUCAGAGUCGUGCUUCUUGGGCAUGCAGCGCGAAAUGGGUGGUAGGCUUCAUCUAACGCUUCGCAUCGGCUUGAGACCGAUAGCAAACAAGUACUAUGAAGGGAAGGUGAACAAGGACUUUGGCAAGAAAGUUAAAUGUGCUUGAACUUGCUGAAUGGAAAGUGGGUGCAACCUGUGUGACUGAUUGAGAUUGUUGCGUGCCGUAGCUACAACUUCUUGCGCUAUACAAUUAGUGUGGCAAGUAUUGAGUUGGAUGCAUGCAAUGCUUCUCCCUCGUUGUCAGCCAAUGCCAGUCUACGUGUGGGAAAACAAAAAUGGCACUGUAGCCUACCCCAGAGUAGGCGGGCGUGCCAACAUGUGCUCACAUAUACACAUGCCACUGGCAACAUGCUUCCACCCGGCCCGUCUUGAAACACGGACCAAGGAGUCUAACACACAUGCGAGUCCGUGCGUGCGGAAACCUGUGUGCAAAAUGAAAGUGUUUGCUUGGAUGUCUGCACAAGCAACUGACCGAUCAAUUGAGUGAGGUUUGAGUGUGAGCAAGUUUAUUAGGCCCCGAAAGAUGGUGAACUAUGCCUGUGCAGGGCAAUUCCAGAGGAAACUCUGAUGGAGGCCCGCAGCGAUACUGACGUGCAAAUCGUUCGUCGCACAUGGGUAUAGGGGCGAAAGACUAAUCGAACCAUCUAGUAGCUGGUCCCGUCCGAAGUUUCCCUCAGGAUAGCUGGAGUUGAACAGUUUCACCAGGUAAAGCAAUGGUUGGAGGACUCGGGGGCGCGCUGUCCUUGACCUACUCUCAAACUUUAAAUGGGUGAGUACCAGUGACUACUUGGGUGAGCUUCUGGGCUACAUGGCGACUCCAAGUGGACCAUUUUUGGUAAGCAGAACUGGUGAUGAGGGAUGAACCUAACGUUUGGUCAAGGCGCUUAAUUGCUCGCUCAUCAGAUACCAUAAAGGGUGUUGGUUCAUUUUAACAGCAGGACAGUGGUCAUGGAAGUCGAAAUCUGCUAAGGAGUGUGUAACAACUCACCUGCCGAAUGGACUAGCCCCGAAAAUGGAUGGCGCUCAAGCGGGUGGCCGAAAUCAAACCAUCUUUGCAACAAUGCUGCACUGAUGAGUAGGAUGGUGCGGGGGCGAAUGGUGAAACUUCUGGUGAAAAACUAUGUGAAAACAUCUCUGGUGCAGAUCUUGGUGGUAGUAGC
Molecule: ribosomal RNA, 1435 nt
Filed under: Protoperidinium cf. steidingerae
Lineage: Eukaryota; Dinophyceae; Peridiniales; Protoperidiniaceae
Description: LSU rRNA
Rfam family: Eukaryotic large subunit ribosomal RNA
Source: RNAcentral